This 1062-nucleotide long non-coding RNA is filed under the name Papio anubis (olive baboon). Its description in RNAcentral is "lncRNA (ENSPANG00000046421.1)". Lineage: Eukaryota; Metazoa; Chordata; Mammalia; Primates; Cercopithecidae. The record is from RNAcentral.
AUGGGAGGCACCAGGACACAGCUGCUUGUGCUGGGGAGUGGGGUGGAUGCUGAGACUGUGUGGGCCAUUCUGGGUCCCUUUUCAGCCACCCUUCUCCCUGACAUGCACACCACAUUCUGGAGAGUGGUGGGGGUAGGAGGGAAAGGUGGGAGGAAGGGAGGGAGGGAGGGAGACACAGAGGGAGGGAAGGAGGGAGAAGGAGGGGAAGGGAAGGGAGGGAAGGGAAGAGAGGGAGGGAGGGAAGGGAAGAAAGAGAGGGAAGAGGGGAGGGGGGGAGGGGGGAAGGAAGGAAGGGAGGAAAGGAGGGAAGGAGGGAGGAAGGGAGGAGAAAGGAAGGGACGGGAAGGAAGGGAAGGAGGGAGGGAAGGAAGAAAGGAAGGAAGGAGGGAGGGAGGGAAGAAAGGAGGGAGGGACGAAGGAAGGAAGAAAGUAAGGAGGGAGGGAAGGAGGGAGGAAAGAAGGAGGGAAGGAAGGAAAAAAGGAGGGAGGGAGGAAGGGAGGAAGGAAGAGGGAGGGAGGGAGGGGAGAGGGAGAGAGGAAGGGAGGGAAGGAAGGAAGGUCAGGAAGUUCUUCAAUCUAUGUCUGUUCCUCUCACACCACCACCAUGUCUUCCUCCUCCUCCUCCGCCUCCUCCUUCUCCAAGGAGCCACACUUGCUGACAGAGAGACUGACGGAUGGACCGACAGACUUGCUCGGACAGACGGAUGGGCCGACAGACUUGCUCGGACAGACGGAUGGACUGACAGACUUGCUUGGAGCACACACACGUGCUUCCGUGACAGCCUGGGCCCUGGCCCUGGCCCUGAGAAAGCGGACUGGCCUGGAGCACCGUCUCAUUUGGGGAUCUUAUCAUAUCCAAAGUGCACCCCAGGGACCUACAUUUAUUUUCCUGCUGCUGAUAACUCCACAGGAGCAAGACAGCCAGCUGCCAGGGUCAACGUCUCUUUCCCUGGCUCUAAAAUGCAUCUUUCUGAUCCAAGGCCUGUGAUUUCUCACCCUCGGGCCCUGCCCCAGCGACCUCAGGGACAGACACCUGCCUUUGUUCUGGGCGUUUGGGGCUGA